GAUCUUGCGUCUACGGCCUGCGCGCCUUGCGUAAGGCUGAUGGCUGGUGGCUGGAGCCACCGGCCU
RNAcentral lists this small RNA (66 nucleotides) under Azotobacter chroococcum NCIMB 8003. RNAcentral describes it as "Pseudomonas sRNA P26". It matches the Rfam family "Pseudomonas sRNA P26". Rfam says of the family: P26 is conserved across many Gammaproteobacteria species and appears to be consistently located between the DNA directed RNA polymerase (beta subunit) and 50S ribosomal protein L7/L12 genes. The record is from Rfam by way of RNAcentral. Lineage: Bacteria; Pseudomonadati; Pseudomonadota; Gammaproteobacteria; Pseudomonadales; Pseudomonadaceae.